AACGAACUACUGUUUAAUUGGCCCCUGAAGAUUUUUAUGGAUUUUCACGCACAGCAUUGUGGAUCAGAAAUUUAAAGAUUGCGACGAAAUUCUUAAAGAACUCACUCAUGUCCCAUGCUUGUCAACUUUAUUAUUGAUUCACUAUUGAUCAGUGAUGUUGAGUAUCAAUCACAGUUGCGCCUUUCAAACAAUCUAAGUAACCAAAAGUUCCACUUACCAUGACAGAAUGCACUUUAAAGGUCCACGAAGUUCAGAUCAAAUUCAGAAUGGAACAUUCUGGCUGCUUUAGAGGCUAACAAUGAGCCUUGCUGGAAAUGCUCAGCUUGAAAGCUGCUUAAGAUACUACUUGGAACUUUAUUGGAACUUUCAAGUUCUUAGAAGUUUAUUUCAGUGAUGUUCUAAUUAUUAUUUUUUUUUGUAAUUUUAGCCUUAAGUUCCAUCAGGGGCUGCUUAGAAGGCUAUCCAGCUUUCUUCUGUGAACUUUUAAGUUCCGAAAAUACUUAAAAAAGAAGCUGCUUAGAAAGCUUAAGAGCAACCUCUAGCAAGUUGCUUAGCUCAUAAAGUACCUCUUAUCCGAACUUUUGGUUUCUUGGGCAGUUUGAUUAUACGCUGGGCACGAGAAUUGCAAGGAAUUAUACUUCCUUUCUACUAGAAUUUUUAUCUAAUUAUUUAAUUUAUUGAACAGUUUCUGCUGUAUUCUGUAGCAGUGAAAUCCACAAAACUUCAUAGUGCCAUAGAGCAUUUGUAAGGUGUGAAAUGAAGGUUGAUUCUACAAGUGAAACUGCCGAAGUGAAAAUUAAAUGAAGACGAAAACAAUUCGGUAGGCUGUUGUUUUGGUGCGGGUACCUUCGUCGUACGCAAAAACAGAAAAAUUGUCAACUCGUUAGCGGCAUGAAAAUGAAACGUGAAAUUUGCUAUAACUAUUCGAUUCCCAGUGCUAAAGAGACCAUCAUUGAUUAUCCAAACUCUACAUCUUUUUGCUUCCAUCUAAUUGAGCAUUGGGAAAGGUAAAUCGGGAUAUCUGUUAUGAUUGGCUGGAAUGUGGCGGGAAUUAGCGCAUAUCGCGAACUUAAUUUUUUUACCCUAUCUCAGUUCAGAAGUAUAUUAUCAAAAAAAAAAAACUAGAUAACGAAAGACAUUGAAGUUUUAACAAAAUUUUAACCGAAUAAAGUAUUCCAAAGUCGUGAAAGAGCUGUGAAGGCUACUCUCCACGAGGUGAGUAUAAAUUACACUCACGUCGUGGAGAAUCGCUUUCAAAGCUUUUUCAUGACUAUGGUAUGCGUGUGUGACCUCUUCUUUAAUUGGCAAACUUUUAGAUAAAACUAUGUAACCGUUCGUCGAAUAGCACGAGAGUAUCUUAAAACGCGAUGGCUUUUGUGCCACUCUCGCGAACGAGAGACCACCGGUUCAAUUUAGGUUUGCCCGACUAAUUAGCGACUCUACUCUCAAGGGCUCCUUCGAACGGCCGCUAUCUUGAACUGAAACCCAAAACGCACUAAUUUAUACACACAAAAACGAACGAACUGAAACUAUAACAGAAACUUACUCAAAAAAGACUAAAGAACUGAAUGAACAACAAUAAUCGAACAAUAAAAGGUGUUUGAAAUGAAUUUAUUUAAAUAAAAGGAACAAAAAACAAAAGAAACAAAGAAAACUAAACAACUGAAUUCGUCCAAAGUAUAUUAUUUUUCACAAUGUUCGUCAAGUGUGUGUGUGUGUGUUGUGUGUGUAUAAUCAUGGCCAUGAACUCAAACGACGUACCUGCGCAGGUUUUGUUGGUGCUCGAAGCUUGCUCUUGGCCACUCGUCGACGUCGCGCUCUCCUUAUCGUUCGCCGGUCUAUAGGUGCGGAGGGGGAGUGUCGGCGGUCCGGUACUCUGCCCGAUCGUACGUAAACUGUACGCAGGUAGGCCGGACGUGAUCCCUACUCCGUUUGGCUGCCAGUUUUGGCGGGCGAGGAGCAGCGGAAAUAGCUUAAAGCCCAAAAUAAAAAGCGUCUUUGGACGCUGAGGUCCAAAGAGGGAACACAAAUUAAAAACAAUAUACACUAAACGAAUUCACUUUUAUAUUUACCUUUAAAACAACAAAAAAGCGCACAGGGAACAGAGUGUCUGCCCCUGGCGACAAAAUCCAAUAUUUAAGACUCUACAGAACGGAAAACAAAGUCAAUUAACAAUAAAUUCACUUCAAAUGACACUACUUUACAAAAUUACAAUUCUACUAAACACUACACACCUUUACAAAACUUAAACCUGGCAGAAGGUCGCCGAAGCUCACUUCUGUUCUCCAGCCGACUCUAACUAAAAGUGACGGAGUCAAGUCGAUUUCUCUAGUCAAGUAAAUUUCCUGCUAUUGAAGCAGUCGUCUAUUGAAUGUACAAACAAUUAUUUACAAGUGCGCCAAAUUCAACUCGCACAUGGCUGCAAAUCUAUUUUGCGCCAUCGAAAAAACCCUAUAAGAUACAUAACAUGAAUCGUCAUUAGCUUAGCCUAGACACAAACCUUACAUGAAACGGAUAAUCUCUACUAAUGGAAACGGUUCAAACUGAAAGUCAAAUUCAACGGAUCUUAUUCAAAUGAGAUUUUACUUAAAAAAGAUAAAAACGUCAAAAGCUACAAAUUAACUAAAAAUAAUCAUGAAAACUAAUAAUUAAUUAUAAAAAAAAAACAAAUUCUAAAAUCAAAAUCAAAAUAUUCAAAAAAUAUAUCAAUUUGAUCUAAUUGAAUUCAAACUUUAUUUUACUUAAAAGAAUAAAAACGUCAAAACGUUACAUCACACCACCCAGUUUUAUGAAAAUUUGAUCAGAGAAACUGAUCAAAUUUUCAUAACUCACAAAAUACUCAAAAAAAAACUGCACAGUUGAAUCAAACUUAACGUAAAACACAAAACUUAUGUCCAGUUUACAUUGAUGGUCAUAGAGCAAUUUACAACACGGAUGACUCGAACACGACUACCACAAAGGGAAUUUUCCACUGUCAAACAACUUACAUAACCGUUACUCCUUGAACGAUUACCACAAUGGAAACUCCUCAAUGUCAAAAAACUUACAUAGCCGUGAUCUUAACUACAGUUGAUUGCAUCAUCAACACCCUCGUUGACGCAUUCGCAAAUCUAACUGUUUAAACUCGGAUCUUCAGAGACCAUCAGCUCAUUGCGUCUGACCUCCUCCCUGAUUCUCCUUAACGUAACGGAACUACAGCUGGUUGCAUCAUCAACACUCUUGUUGACACAAUCGCAGACCAAACUGCUUAAACUCGGAUCCUCAGAGUCCAUCAGCUCAUUGCGUCUGACCUCCUCCCUGACUCUCCUUAACGUAACGGAACUAAACCGCAGCUGAUUGCACAUCAAAACUGUGUUUGACUCAUUCGCAAUCAAACGCUGCAUAAACGUAAGCAGAAAUAAAUUCCAAACAUCAAACUUAAUUUGACCAAAUUCAGAAUCUGCAAAAAAUAUCGAACAGCUCUAUGUAAACAUCCAAUGUAAACUGACAGCAUAAAAUCUUGCAUGCAAGUUCUACUACCAACUGUAACGAAACGUACUGUCAACGCGAGUGACGUUUGCGCUGUCACUGACGCGAGACGAAAAACUAAAGAAAGCGAAAUGAAAACAAAAACAACGGUCCAAAUCGGUGAUUCGGUGGUGCUCGUCGCGAUCGCGGUCGAAAAUCGAGAAAAAACGGAUUUUCUUCAAAAAACCGGGGGAGUAUAUGAUAUUUUCCCACUAUUUUUAUAGAACUAAUUGCUUUUCGCUUCAUUUACAGGUAUUUGUCGAGGGACUUCGUCGGAGAGAACUAAUUCAGCAGGAGCGGUAAAAGAUUGCACGACGGCGGUACCGAAAUUAAAUCGAGACGGAACGGGAAAGAAAUUACUCGGUUGUAUGGAACGCUAGGAAUGUUCCUGAAUCCGUUGAUUCAUGAUGAUCUCCUAGCCAGCGAGGGAAUUUAAUUGAACGAUGCAACCGCGCGGUGAGAGCUGUAAUACGGAACUGGAUUUUUGGCCAACGUAUGCAGGCUGCGGAACGCCUAGGAGCAAUGAUGUCGAUAUUCUUAAUAUCGCUAGAGAUGUACCUGGUCCGUGCGAAACACGACGACCCUCUAGCCAGCACGGGAUUUCAAGACCGACGUAUGCGCGUUCCGGAGCACCCUUGAGCAACCAUCAAUUCCUCGUCGUUAGCAGAUUCUCGAAAAUCGACUGAGAUGCACGAAAAACGGCGACUUUUCCGGACGAGAGAAAUUUCUUCAGACGGUAACGACGGUUAUCUUCGCGUAGUACCAGUUCAACGGGUGAGUCCUUCCAUUUAUUAACUAAUCUAGCUUUAAACCUAACAUAGUUUAAGCAAUAUACUAAAAUAGAUACAUAAGCCUUUUCGCUAAUCAAAAAAUUCCUUAAGCGAUGAAUAUUUGGAUGAAUAGCUAAAAGCUAUCUUCCAAACACAUCUCAAAAAACAAAAACACAUGCAAGAACUAUUUCAAAAUUAUCGAAUUCAACGGUAAUUUUGCUUAAAAAGAGAAAAACGUCGAAAACGCUUUUCUGUUCAAAUUAUUCUACUAUUAUUCAUAAAAAAUUGUUGCAAAUUCUUCAUCACUCACUCAAACAAAAAAAAAAUUAAAAUUAAAAUGCACUUGAAAACUAAAAAAAAAAUAAAACUUCGUCAUGAAAAAAAACCUACAUGCAAGUCAUGCUUAAAGUAACACUUUGCGUCAAAUUAGAUUCAACUGAACAUAAAUUAACUAAAAAACUGAACUGAACUGAAAAUUUACCGAAACUCAAUCUAAAAUACUGAAAAAAUCAACAAAACUAUAAAAAAACUAAAAAGGAGAAUAAAAUCAAAUUCAUUUCAACUCAAAACCGUAAAUUACACUAAAAAUCAACUUCAAAGUUCAACAUUAUCUGAAAAAAAAAGUAAAAACUUAAUCAAAUUUAAGCUAAAAAGGAAAUUAAAGUUACAAAAUCUAAACAAAAAUACAAAAACGCAAACAAAACAAUUUCUAUUUUAGUAGAAAUUCCUAGUUUUUGACGUUGGGCGCCAAUGUAACCGUUCGUCGAAUUAGCACGAGAGUAUCUUAAAACGCGAUGGCUUUUGCGCCACUCUCGCGUACGAGAGACCAUCGGUUCAUUUUAAAGUUUGCCCGACCGUUUGACGACUCUUCUCCCAAGGGCUCCUUCGAACGGCCGCUAUUUUGAAAUAAAACCCAAAACGCACUGAAUCUUAUAUACAAAAACGGACGAACUGAACCAAUAACGUAAAUUUACACCAAAAGAGACUAGAAACUGAAUAAACAACAAAUCGAACAAUUAAAAAUGUUUGAAAUGAAUUUAUUUAAAUAAGAGGAACAAAAAAAAAACAAUAGAAACAAAGAAAACUAAACAACUGAAUUCGUCCAAAGUAUAUUAUUUUUUACAAAUGCUCGUCAAGUGUGUGUGUGUGUUGUGUGUGUGUAUGAUCAUGGUCAUGAACUCAAAAACGUACCUGCGCAGGCUUUUUUGUUGUCGGUGCUUCGUGGCCAAUCGUCGACGUAGGUUUGCUGUCCUUAAUGUUCGCCGGAUUAUAGGUGCGGAGGGGUGUCGGCGGCCCGGUACUCUGCCUGAUCGUGCCUAAAGUGCACGCAGGUAGGCCGGAAGUAUUCCCCUUGAGUCCGUUUAGCUACCGGUAACUGGCGGGCGAGGACGAGCACUAGGCUUAGAGCCCAAAAUAAAAAGCGUCUUUGGACGCUGAGGUCCAAAGAGGGAACACAAAUUAAAAACAAUAUACACUAAACGAAUUCACUUUUAUAUUUACCUUUAAAACAACAAAAAAGCGCACAGGGAACAGAGUGUCUGCCCCUGGCGACAAAAUCCAAUAUUUAAGACUCUACAGAACGGAAAACAAAGUCAAUUAACAAUAAAUUCACUUCAAAUGACACUACUUUACAAAAUUACAAUUCUACUAAACACUACACACCUUUACAAAACUUAAACCUGGCAGAAGGUCGCCGAAGCUCACUUCUGUUCUCCAGCCGACUCUAACUAAAAGUGACGGAGUCAAGUCGAUUUCUCUAGUCAAGUAAAUUUCCUGCUAUUGAAGCAGUCGUCUAUUGAAUGUACAAACAAUUAUUUACAAGUGCGCCAAAUUCAACUCGCACAUGGCUGCAAAUCUAUUUUGCGCCAUCGAAAAAACCCUAUAAGAUACAUAACAUGAAUCGUCAUUAGCUUAGCCUAGACACAAACCUUACAUGAAACGGAUAAUCUCUACU
Aedes albopictus (Asian tiger mosquito) is the source of this 6231-nucleotide long non-coding RNA. RefSeq lists it as uncharacterized. The record is from RefSeq and is a predicted model, not a curated record. NCBI's taxonomy places the organism in Eukaryota, Metazoa, Arthropoda, Insecta, Diptera, Culicidae. The transcript is spliced from 2 exons.